UACGUAGGGUGCGAGCGUUGUCCGGAUUUAUUGGGCGUAAAGAGCUCGUAGGCGGUCUGUCGCGUCUGCUGUGAAAACUCAGGGCUUAACCCUGAGCUUGCAGUGGGUACGGGCAGACUAGAGUGCGGUAGGGGAGACUGGAAUUCCUGGUGUAGCGGUGAAAUGCGCAGAUAUCAGGAGGAACACCGGUGGCGAAGGCGGGUCUCUGGGCCGUAACUGACGCUGAGGAGCGAAAGCAUGGGGAGCGAACAGG
This 253-nucleotide ribosomal RNA is filed under the name uncultured bacterium. Its description in RNAcentral is "partial 16S ribosomal RNA". It matches the Rfam family "Bacterial small subunit ribosomal RNA", at positions 524 to 776 of the family's 1533-position model. The record is from RNAcentral.